This 407-nucleotide ribosomal RNA is filed under the name uncultured bacterium. RNAcentral's name for it is "bacterial SSU rRNA". It matches the Rfam family "Bacterial small subunit ribosomal RNA", at positions 355 to 774 of the family's 1533-position model. The record is from RNAcentral.
UGGGGAAUAUUGCACAAUGGGCGCAAGCCUGAUGCAGCAACGCCGCGUGAGGGACGACGGCCUUCGGGUUGUAAACCUCUUUUGGCAGGGAAGAAGCGAAAGUGACGGUACCUGCAGAAAAAGCCCCGGCUAACUUCGUGCCAGCAGCCGCGGUAAGACGAAGGGGGCAAGCGUUGUUCGGAAUUACUGGGCGUAAAGGGCGCGUAGGCGGUUUGCUUAGUCAGGCGUGAAAGCCCUGGGCUUAACCUGGGAUGUGCGCUUGAUACUGGCAGGCUUGAGUGUGGGAGAGGUUGGUGGAAUUCCCAGUGUAGAGGUGAAAUUCGUAGAUAUUGGGAAGAACACCGGCGGCGAAGGCGGCCAACUGGACCACAACUGACGCUGAGGCGCGAAAGCGUGGGGAGCAAACA